Molecule: ribosomal RNA, 477 nt
Filed under: uncultured bacterium
Lineage: Bacteria
Description: bacterial SSU rRNA
Rfam family: Bacterial small subunit ribosomal RNA
Source: RNAcentral
GACGAACGCUGGCGGCGUGCCUAACACAUGCAAGUCGAGCGGGGUUGAAGCGAGGGGUAACUCGAGUUUCUACCUAGCGGCGGACGGGUGAGUAACGCGUGGGCAACCUGCCUCAAGGACUGGGAUAACAGCUCGAAAGGGCUGCUAAUACCGGAUAAGCCUAUGGCCUCGCAUGGGGCCAUGAGCAAAGGGGAAACCCGCCUUGAGAUGGGCCCGCGUCCCAUCAGCUAGUUGGUGAGGUGAAGGCUCACCAAGGCGACGACGGGUAGCCGGCCUGAGAGGGUGACCGGCCACACUGGGACUGAGACACGGCCCAGACUCCUACGGGGGGGCAGCAGUGGGGAAUCUUGCACAAUGGGCGAAAGCCUGAUGCAGCGACGCCGCGUGAGCGAAGAAGGCCUUCGGGUUGUAAAGCUCUGUCUGGAGGGACGAAGGAAGUGACGGGUACCUCCGGAGGAAGCCACGGCUAACUACGUG